Molecule: ribosomal RNA, 253 nt
Filed under: uncultured bacterium
Lineage: Bacteria
Description: partial 16S ribosomal RNA
Rfam family: Bacterial small subunit ribosomal RNA
Source: RNAcentral
UACGAAGGGGGCUAGCGUUGCUCGGAAUUACUGGGCGUAAAGCGCACGUAGGCGGCUUUUUAAGUCGGAGGUGAAAUCCUGGAGCUCAACUCCAGAACUGCCUUCGAUACUGAAGAGCUCGAGUCCGGGAGAGGUGAGUAGAACUGCGAGUGUAGAGGUGAAAUUCGUAGAUAUUCGCAAGAACACCAGUGGCGAAGGCGGCUCACUGGCCCGGUACUGACGCUGAGGUGCGAAAGCGUGGGGAGCAAACAGG